GAUGAACGCUGGCGGCGUGCCUAAUACAUGCAAGUCGAGCGAACGGACGAGAAGCUUGCUUCUCUGAUGUUAGCGGCGGACGGGUGAGUAACACGUGGAUAACCUACCUAUAAGACUGGGAUAACUUCGAAAAACCGGAGCUAAUACCGGAUAAUCUUUUGAACCGCAUGGUUCAAAAGUGAAAGACGGUCUUUCUGUCACUUAUAGAUGGAUCCGCGCUGCAUUAGCUAGUUGGUAAGGGAACGGCUUACCAAGGCAACGAUGCAUAGCCGACCUGAGAGGGUGAUCGGCGACACUGGAACUGAGACAGGGUCCAGACCCCUACGGGAGGGAGCAGUAGGGAAUGUUCAGCAAUGGGCGAAAGCCGGACGGAGCAACGCCGCGUGAGUGAUGAAGGUCUUCGGAUCGUAAAACUCUGUUAUUAGGGAAGAACAUAUGUGUAAGUAACUGUGCACAUCGUGACGGUACCUAAUCAGAAAGCCCCGGCUAACUACGUG
RNAcentral lists this ribosomal RNA (497 nucleotides) under uncultured bacterium. RNAcentral's name for it is "partial 16S ribosomal RNA". It matches the Rfam family "Bacterial small subunit ribosomal RNA", at positions 28 to 507 of the family's 1533-position model. The record is from RNAcentral.